GAUGAACGCUGGCGGCGUGCUUAACACAUGCAAGUCGAACGGAAAGGCUCCUGCUUGCAGGGGUACUCGAGUGGCGAACGGGUGAGUAACACGUGGGUGAUCUGCCCUGCACUUCGGGAUAAGCCUGGGAAACUGGGUCUAAUACCGGAUAGGACCACAUUUUGGAUGGUGUGGUGGAAAGUUUUUCGGUGUGGGAUGAGCUCGCGGCCUAUCAGCUUGUUGGUGGGGUAAUGGCCUACCAAGGCGUCGACGGGUAGCCGGCCUGAGAGGGUGUACGGCCACAUUGGGACUGAGAGACGGCCCAGACUCCUACGGGAGGCAGCAGUGGGGAAUAUUGCACAAUGGGCGCAAGCCUGAUGCAGCGACGCCGCGUGGGGGAUGACGGCCUUCGGGUUGUAAACUCCUUUCGCUAGGGACGAAGCGUUUUUGUGACGGUACCUGGAGAAGAAGCACCGGCUAACUACGUG
RNAcentral lists this ribosomal RNA (467 nucleotides) under uncultured bacterium. RNAcentral describes it as "partial 16S ribosomal RNA". It matches the Rfam family "Bacterial small subunit ribosomal RNA", at positions 28 to 507 of the family's 1533-position model. The record is from RNAcentral.